This is a long non-coding RNA of Lytechinus variegatus (green sea urchin), 1044 nucleotides long. RefSeq lists it as uncharacterized. NCBI's taxonomy places the organism in Eukaryota, Metazoa, Echinodermata, Echinoidea, Temnopleuroida, Toxopneustidae. The transcript has 4 exons. The record is from RefSeq and is a predicted model, not a curated record.
GAACGUGGCCAGCGAAUUGAGCCGAGAUAUCAUGAUUUGAACGUGUGUGUGCUUAUUUUUAUAACAUAAACGACAGAAUUUCAUAGUAAGGAGCUCAUUCAUGCGUACCAAUUCAGUGACGGUUUCAGUCUAGAAAGAGUUUGAAUCAACAGUUUUCACUCAUUCCUCUCAGAUGACUGAGAGUAAACUGGUUCUUGUCCAGUGGGACAAAAUGGGAUGACUGUGAUACUCAGGGACAAUCAUAUGUAGCUCCUGUAAAGUGCCAUGCCAUGGAAUAUUGUGUUUGUAGAGGCAAGGUGCCUUAUAACCUAACGUCAUCAGUAGAGGUAGAAGCCGUUCUGAAGGCAGUGAAAGUGAUAUGGAGACAUAUUCAGAUGUAGACAACAUACAACUGGCAUUAAUAAAAGGAGACGAAAAGGUCCUUCCUGAAAGAUUGAUCUUUUUCCUCAUCAGAGGUCCUUCCGGAGAGAGUACCCAGUGUAACGUUAACACUUGCAGCAGACCCUGAUUCAGGAGAGCAGCUUCUUCUCACGGUCAGGCCGGGCUAGCUUCAACAUCUGCAAGGGAGCGAGGAUUAAUGCAAGCAUCUCCUCAGACAAGGCUCACUUUCAUUUUCUUUAAUUUGAUUUUGAUAAAGUUAUAUUAAUUCAAAUUUAAAGUAGGAGAGGCUAGAGUGCACGUAAUCUACUCAGACUUUUUCUAAAACCUUUCUCCCUGGUUUACCUCAAAAGUGAAUUUGUGUUGAAAGUAUGAGCUGUUGGUUUCAGAAAGUUGUAUGAAAGAGCUAAUUAACCAUAAAACUGCCGGGUGGUUCCCCCAACCUUUUCCGCGACCAUUCCACUGCGAAAUUUUUUGACCGCGCUGCUCGCUGACUUUUUUACUUUUAACCAAAUUUACGAUGCCUGGGCAUGUGGAUAUGUAAGUGCGUGUCAGACCCAAAUUUGCUCUCAAACAUGAUUUUUUGUACGUUACAAAUUCAUUUUAAAUUAAGUUUUCUCAUCUUAUUCAUAAAGAUAUGAAUAUUUUUACUUUCAUGAGAUGAAC